RNAcentral lists this ribosomal RNA (101 nucleotides) under Lepisosteus oculatus (spotted gar). The record is from RNAcentral. Lineage: Eukaryota; Metazoa; Chordata; Actinopteri; Semionotiformes; Lepisosteidae.
GCCAGCAGCCAUGUCACCCUGCAACAUCCUGCUAAGCAGGUGUGAGCCUGGUCAGUACCUGGAUGGGAGACCUCCUGGGGAAGCUAAGGUUGCUGCUGGAA